This 293-nucleotide long non-coding RNA is filed under the name Trifolium pratense (red clover). RNAcentral describes it as "long non-coding RNA (TPRA_LNC010307)". Lineage: Eukaryota; Viridiplantae; Streptophyta; Magnoliopsida; Fabales; Fabaceae. The record is from RNAcentral.
AGAGUAAAAACAAAUUUCAAACUCAACGGAAAUACAGCCAAAGUGAUUCUCAAUGAAAUACAACAAUUCAUGAUAUAGGCCGGACAGAACAAAGGUAGAUACAAACUAUAUAUAAAGAGAAGAUCAAAGAAUCGUCUUCACCAUCAAAUUUUGACAAAGUUACAUGAUACUAUCUAUAAUUCUGCCUAGUAGUAAUGUAGGCUUCAAUAUAUUGAUUAUUAUAGGGUGUGAUGUAAUGGUCCAUUAACAGAAAUUACAGAGCCACAUUGGGUAAGUAAAGCAGGAAAUUUCAA